Transfer RNA from Blastocystis hominis, 74 nucleotides. It matches the Rfam family "tRNA". Rfam says of the family: Transfer RNA (tRNA) molecules are approximately 80 nucleotides in length. Their secondary structure includes four short double-helical elements and three loops (D, anti-codon, and T loops). Further hydrogen bonds mediate the characteristic L-shaped molecular structure. tRNAs have two regions of fundamental functional importance: the anti-codon, which is responsible for specific mRNA codon recognition, and the 3' end, to which the tRNAs corresponding amino acid is attached (by aminoacyl-tRNA synthetases). tRNAs cope with the degeneracy of the genetic code in two manners: having more than one tRNA (with a specific anti-codon) for a particular amino acid; and 'wobble' base-pairing, i.e. permitting non-standard base-pairing at the 3rd anti-codon position. NCBI's taxonomy places the organism in Eukaryota, Bigyra, Opalinata, Blastocystidae. The record is from Rfam.
GAGUGUAUAGCUUAAUUGGAUAAAGCAAUCGACUUUUAAUCGAUGGAUUCGGGGUUCAAUUCCUCGUACACUUA